Molecule: ribosomal RNA, 497 nt
Filed under: uncultured bacterium
Lineage: Bacteria
Description: partial 16S ribosomal RNA
Rfam family: Bacterial small subunit ribosomal RNA
Source: RNAcentral
GAUGAACGCUGGCGGCGUGCCUAAUACAUGCAAGUCGAGCGAACAGAUGAGGAGCUUGCUCCUCUGACGUUAGCGGCGGACGGGUGAGUAACACGUGGAUAACCUACCUAUAAGACUGGGAUAACUUCGGGAAACCGGAGCUAAUACCGGAUAAUAUAUUGAACCGCAUGGUUCAAUAGUGAAAGACGGUUUUGCUGUCACUUAUAGAUGGAUCCGCGCCGGAUUAGCUAGUUGGUAAGGUAACGGCUUACCAAGGCAACGAUGCGUAGCCGACCUGAGAGGGUGAUCGGCCACACUGGAACUGAGACACGGUCCAGACUCCUACGGGAGGCAGCAGUAGGGAAUCUUCCGCAAUGGGCGAAAGCCUGACGGAGCAACGCCGCGUGAGUGAUGAAGGUCUUCGGAUCGUAAAACUCUGUUAUUAGGGAAGAACAAAUGUGUAAGUAACUAUGCACGUCUUGACGGUACCUGAUCAGAAAGCCACGGCUAACUACGUG